AACACUGCCCUGUCUCUCCCCAGGAAUGUCCUAGUUCCUCCUUCUGCAUAUGUGAGGCCUUUUUGCCCAGUAUUUCAUGGAGUAUUGGGAAUGUGGAUGAAUAUUAUUUGCACUUUAUGGAUGGAGAAGCGAGAAAGCCACCGUCCUGCCCACCCACCAGUGGGUCAGAAAGAGAAGACUGAAUCCUGUUUUCCUGCUCAAUAGCUUCUGAAAGAAGCAUAGGACCUCAACUGUGAAAUGCAUUUGUUACAGCGUAAAGAGAAUCACUAUGUUGCUGGGAAUGAAGAUGCAGUCUUUCUGGCAAAACACUGGGGGAAACAGUUAAGACAUCCUAACUGCUCAUAUCCUGAGAGCUGAAUUCUUGCUGUUCCUGUAAAGUCAAAGCUAACAUCUGAGUGAGGAGAACUUGUCCUCCAACCUACGUGGAUGCUCCUGCCCCGCACCCAGGAAACCCACACAGACAAGGGACCAGGGAACCAGUGAUCUAUGACUUGCUGCCUCUCUGGGUCUGCAAACAGGAAUUACAAAGAACAAGAAGCAGAAAUGAAAAGCAGAAACAAGGCCAAGCAUCAGUUCUGGAGUCAGAUCAGCAUUGGAGAGCUGGAGCCCUCUGGACUGCUUCCUCUUUUCCUCAAGUGAACUCCUGGUGGAAACAUAAACUAAGGCUGAAUUCACUUUGAACCAAGAGCAAGACCUCAAAGGAAGCUUUGGCAAAGAGGAAAGCAGGGUGAAAACAGGAAAUACCAGAGAAGACUGCUCUUAAAGUACAUCCACAACAUAGAGCACCACUGCAGUAGUCACCUUAUGGCGUGUAUGCGACGUCUUGUGGAUUCUGUGAUUUUUGGUGAUUUAGCUCCUCCAAGAUGUGAAUUUACCC
Neopsephotus bourkii (Bourke's parrot) is the source of this 877-nucleotide long non-coding RNA. RefSeq lists it as uncharacterized. The record is from RefSeq and is a predicted model, not a curated record. The transcript has 6 exons. NCBI's taxonomy places the organism in Eukaryota, Metazoa, Chordata, Aves, Psittaciformes, Psittacidae.